This 1353-nucleotide ribosomal RNA is filed under the name uncultured marine eukaryote. RNAcentral's name for it is "SSU rRNA". It matches the Rfam family "Eukaryotic small subunit ribosomal RNA", at positions 409 to 1777 of the family's 1831-position model. The record is from RNAcentral.
CCCACUUACAUAGGAGGAGCAGGCGCGCAAUUACCCAAUCCUGACUCAGGGAGGUAGUGACAAGAAAUAACAAUAAACCGGCUUAUGCCGGUUUAAUUGGAAUGAGUACAAUUUAAACAUCUUAACGAGGAACAAUUGGAGGGCAAGUCUGGUGCCAGCAGCCGCGGUAAUUCCAGCUCCAAUAGCGUAUACUAAAGUUGUUGCAGUUAAAAAGCUCGUAGUUGGAUUUCUGUGGGGACGGAGCGGCCGGCCGCACAUCGCGGUUCGAGCUAGCGCUUUCCCUACAUCCUGCCGCGAACCGUGCUACCAUUAGUUUGGUGGCGCCGGGGAUCGGCUCGAUUACUUUGAGAAAAAUAGAGUGUUCAAAGCAGGCCACAUGCCUUGAAUAAGUUAGCAUGGAAUAAUAACUAAGGACUUCGGUUCUAUUUUGUUGGUGUUCGGGACUGAAGUAAUGAUUGAUAGGGACAGUUGGGGCGGUCUGUAUUCCAAAGCGAGAGGUGAAAUUCUUAGACCUUCGGAAGACAAACAGCUGCGAAAGCGUUCCGCAAGGAUGUUCCCUUUGAUCAAGAACGAAAGUUGGGGGAUCGAAGACGAUCAGAUACCGUCGUAGUCUCAACUAUAAACUAUACCAGCUAGGGAUCGGCCAACGUUAUUUUAUACCGACUUGGUCGGCACCUUAUGAGAAAUCAAAGCAUCUGGGUUCCGGGGGGAGUAUGGUCGCAAGGCUGAAACUUAAAGGAAUUGACGGAAGGGCACCACCAGCCGUGGAGCCUGUGGCUUAAUUUGACUCAACACGGGAAAACUUACCAGGUCCAGACAUAGUAAGGAUUGACAGAUUGAUAGCUCUUUCUUGAUUCUGUGGGUGGUGGUGCAUGGCCGUUCUUAGUUGGUGGAGUGAUUUGUCUGGUUAAUUCCGUUAACGAACGAGACCCCAGCCUGCUAAAUAGCGCGCGUGAGCUUUGCUCGCGGCGAGCUUCUUAGAGGGACUAUGAUGCGCGAUAGCACAUGGAAGUUUGGGGCAAUAACAGGUCUGUGAUGCCCUUAGAUGUUCUGGGCCGCACACGGGCUACACUGGCGCCUGCAACGAGCAUAUCAGCUGGCCCGAGAGGGUCUUGGCUAAUCUUUUGAACCGGCGCCGUGCUUGGGAUUGACCUUUGCAAUUGUUGGUCAUGCAACGAGGAAUGCCUUGUAAACGCGAGUCAUCAGCUCGCAUUGAAUACGUCCCUGCCCUUUGUACACACCGCCCGUCGCUCCUACCGAUGAAUGUUCCGAUGAAAUUUUCGGAGAGCACCUGUGAACUUGGCUCUGCCUUGCGAACGGGAGGCUCAAAGUCACNUAAAUCUGAACCUUAGA